CCUGCCCCUAGAGGUGUUACAGGUGUAGUUUCUGUGUCUUAUGUGCAUUUGUAGAUGGCAAAGAGGAGAGAGGCUAUGUCUACACUCAAUGUUCUGACUUAUGAACAUUUGAAUGAUUAAUAAUCCACGUU
This is a small nucleolar RNA of Meriones unguiculatus (Mongolian gerbil), 131 nucleotides long. The record is from Ensembl. Lineage: Eukaryota; Metazoa; Chordata; Mammalia; Rodentia; Muridae.